GAGAAGCAAUACCGCGAGGUGGAGCAAAACUUACAAAAAUAGGUCUCAGUUCGGACUGUAGGCUGCAACUCGCCUACACGAAGUUGGAAUUGCUAGUAAUCGUGGAUCAGCAUGCCACGGUGAAUACGUUCCCGGGUCUUGUACACACCGCCCGUCACACCAUGGGAGCUGGUAACACCCGAAGUCAGUAGUCUAACUGCAAGGAGGACGCUGCCGAAGGUGGGAUUAGCGACUGGGGUGAAGUCGUAACAAGGUACC
This 258-nucleotide ribosomal RNA is filed under the name uncultured bacterium. RNAcentral describes it as "partial 16S ribosomal RNA". It matches the Rfam family "Bacterial small subunit ribosomal RNA", at positions 1244 to 1500 of the family's 1533-position model. The record is from RNAcentral.